Magnolia sinica is the source of this 636-nucleotide long non-coding RNA. RefSeq lists it as uncharacterized. The record is from RefSeq and is a predicted model, not a curated record. The transcript has 3 exons. NCBI's taxonomy places the organism in Eukaryota, Viridiplantae, Streptophyta, Magnoliopsida, Magnoliales, Magnoliaceae.
UACUUGGACAGCUUUAAAGAGAAUGCAGACAGCAAGAGCUGCUUGCAUUGAUGUGUGAAGUUAACUUGUUCAUGUUGAUGUGCCUGCAUAUUAGGCAUCAUGUGCUGCUGGAGUAUCAAAUAACUUCCUUGUGCGCUGUUUGGCCCAGAAGAAUGUCGGCUGAAAUUGGGUUGGUCGAUGAGGCACAAUAUAUGUGUCAGGAUAGCUAGAGGUUUGGCAUAUCUCCAUGAAGAAUCAAGAUUCAAAAUUUUUCACAGAGACAUCAAAGCUACAAUGUACUGUUGGAUAAGGAUCUCGAUCCUAAGAUAUCUGACUUUGGUUUGGCAAAGCUUGUAGGAUGGCCUUUGAUGGUUGCUGUCCCGAUCGCAAAUUCCCAGGUGAUGACUGCCCACUAAGCAGGACAGAAGUGUCAAAGGGAAAUGGUAAUUCAUUGAUGGGACUUGUACAAUCCUCCAUCUGAGAAUGCUAUAGUAUCUUUAAGCCACAAUUCCAACAUGCUAGUUUGGGAAAAUAAGAGUAAGAAAGCUAAGUUGGCAAUUGACUGAAAUCAGCUAUUUAUCUUUUUAUAUCAACCUUUCUAUUUGAAAUAUUAAAACGACAUUUUCGAGCAUUUUCACCAUUUUCACCACAAACUUG